GUCACCGGAAUAGUGAAAUAUAACAGGCUAUGCAAAUAGGGGUGUUACAAUUCUCCGCCCCUUAAAAUAAAUUUUACCUCGAAAUUUUACCUGGUAUCAAUUUCUGAACAGCUGUGGGUGUUGUCUCCUCAUGUCCUCCUCUCGUUCCCAAGUAGCUUCUUGGCCCGAAUGAUGGUUCCACAGCACUUUUACCAAUGGUAUCUGCUUAUUCCGUAGCUGCUUCACCUCAUAAGCCAGAAUCUUUAUGGGUUCUUCUUCAUAUGUGAGGUCUGGAUUCACUUCUAUUUCUUCUACUGGU
RNAcentral lists this unclassified non-coding RNA (298 nucleotides) under Hevea brasiliensis (rubber tree). The record is from RNAcentral. Lineage: Eukaryota; Viridiplantae; Streptophyta; Magnoliopsida; Malpighiales; Euphorbiaceae.